Molecule: ribosomal RNA, 639 nt
Filed under: uncultured archaeon
Lineage: Archaea
Description: bacterial SSU rRNA
Rfam family: Archaeal small subunit ribosomal RNA
Source: RNAcentral
GGUUGAUCCUGCCGGAGGCUACUGCCAUCAGAGUUCGAUUAAGCCAUGUUAGUCGAGGGUGCUUCUUCUUCGGAAGAAGUAACCCGGCGGACGGCUCAGUAACACGUGGAUAACUUGCCCUUGGGUCCGGGAUAACCCCUGAGAAAUUGGGGACAAUACCGGAUAGGGCAUCGAUAGCUGGAAUGCACGAUGUCCAAAAGCUGAGGCGCCCAAGGAUAGGUCUGCGGCUGAUUAGGUUGUUGUUGAUGUAAUGGAUCAACAAGCCUGCAAUCGGUACGGGUUGUGAGAGCAAGAGCCCGGAGAUGGGUUCUGAGAAAAGAACCCAGGUCCUACGGGACGCAUCAGGCGCGAAAACUUUACAAUGUGCGAAAGCACGAUAAGGGAACUCUGAGUGCCUCCUAUGGAGGCUGUUCAGGUGUCUAAAAAGCACUUGAAGUAAGGGCUGGGUAAGACCGGUGCCAGCCGCCGCGGUAACACCGGCAGCCCAAGUGGUAGCCACGAUUAUUGGGUCUAAAGCGUCCGUAGCCGGCCAGGUAAGUUCUUUGGGAAAUUUAACCGCUCAACGGUUAAGCUUUCAGGGAAUACUGCUUGGCUUGGGACCGGGAGAGGUCAGAGGUACUUCAAGGGUAGGGGUGAAAU